UCCUACGGGAGGCAGCAGUGGGGAAUAUUGCACAAUGGGCGGAAGCCUGAUGCAGCAACGCCGCGUGCGGGAUGACGGCCUUCGGGUUGUAAACCGCUUUCGCCUGUGACGAAGCGUGAGUGACGGUAAUGGGUAAAGAAGCACCGGCUAACUACGUGCCAGCAGCCGCGGUGAUACGUAGGGUGCGAGCGUUGUCCGGAUUUAUUGGGCGUAAAGGGCUCGUAGGUGGUUGAUCGCGUCGGAAGUGUAAUCUUGGGGCUUAACCCUGAGCGUGCUUUCGAUACGGGUUGACUUGAGGAAGGUAGGGGAGAAUGGAAUUCCUGGUGGAGCGGUGGAAUGCGCAGAUAUCAGGAGGAACACCAGUGGCGAAGGCGGUUCUCUGGGCCUUUCCUGACGCUGAGGAGCGAAAGCGUGGGGAGCGAACAGGCUUAGAUACCCUGGUAGUCCACGCUGUAAACGGUGGGUACUAGGUGUGGGGUCCAUUCCACGGGUUCCGCGCCGUAGCUAACGCUUUAAGUACCCCGCCUGGGGAGUACGGCCGCAAGGCUAAAACUCAAAGGAAUUGACGG
This 569-nucleotide ribosomal RNA is filed under the name uncultured bacterium. RNAcentral's name for it is "bacterial SSU rRNA". It matches the Rfam family "Bacterial small subunit ribosomal RNA", at positions 337 to 916 of the family's 1533-position model. The record is from RNAcentral.